GGGCCCGCACAAGCGGUGGAGUAUGUGGUUUAAUUCGAUGCAACGCGAAGAACCUUACCAGGGUUUGACAUCCUGCGAAUUUCUGGGAAACCGGAAAGUGCCUUCGGGAACGCAGUGACAGGUGGUGCAUGGCUGUCGUCAGCUCGUGUCGUGAGAUGUUGGUUAAGUCCCGCAACGAGCGCAACCCACGUCUUUAGUUGCCAGCAUUGAGUUGGGCACUCUAGAGAGACCGCCGGUGAUAAACCGGAGGAAGGUGUGGAUGACGUCAAGUCAUCAUGCCCCUUACAUCCUGGGCUACACACGUACUACAAUGCUACGGACAAAGAGCAGCAAGUUCGCGAGGAC
RNAcentral lists this ribosomal RNA (345 nucleotides) under uncultured bacterium. RNAcentral describes it as "bacterial SSU rRNA". It matches the Rfam family "Bacterial small subunit ribosomal RNA", at positions 917 to 1264 of the family's 1533-position model. The record is from RNAcentral.